RNAcentral lists this ribosomal RNA (403 nucleotides) under Verrucomicrobiota bacterium. Its description in RNAcentral is "Verrucomicrobia bacterium partial 16S ribosomal RNA". It matches the Rfam family "Bacterial small subunit ribosomal RNA", at positions 355 to 776 of the family's 1533-position model. The record is from RNAcentral. Lineage: Bacteria; Pseudomonadati; Verrucomicrobiota.
UGGGGAAUAUUGCACAAUGGGGGAAACCCUGAUGCAGCGACGCCGCGUGAGCGAAGAAGGUUUUCGAAUCGUAAAGCUCUGUCCUAUGAGAAGAUAAUGACGGUAUCAUAGGAGGAAGCCCCGGCUAAAUACGUGCCAGCAGCCGCGGUAAUACGUAUGGGGCGAGCGUUGUCCGGAAUUAUUGGGCGUAAAGGGUACGUAGGCGGUCUAUUAAGUCAGGUGUGAAAGCGUGAGGCUUAACCUCAUUAAGCACUUGAAACUGAUAGACUUGAGUGAAGGAGAGGAAAGUGGAAUUCCUAGUGUAGCGGUGAAAUGCGUAGAUAUUAGGAGGAAUGCCGAUGAUGAAGAUAACUCACUGGACAGAAACUGACGCUGAAGUGCGAAAGCUAGGGGAGCAAACAGG